GGUGGUGUCUGCACGAGCGCACCCCUACUUUUAGUUGCUAACAUUAAGUUGAGCACUCUAAAGGGACUGCUAAGGUUAACUUAGAGGAAGGUGGGGAUGACGUCAAAUCAUCAUGCCCUUUAUGCCUUGGGCAACACACGUGCUACAAUGGUCGGUACAAAGAGAAGCAAUACCGCGAGGAGGAGCAAAUCUUAAAAACCGAUCCCAGUUCGGAUUGCAGGCUGCAACUCGCCUGCAUGAAGCCGGAGUUGCUAGUAAUCGUGAAUCAGCAUGUCGCGGUGAAUAC
Molecule: ribosomal RNA, 286 nt
Filed under: uncultured bacterium
Lineage: Bacteria
Description: partial 16S ribosomal RNA
Rfam family: Bacterial small subunit ribosomal RNA
Source: RNAcentral